Molecule: long non-coding RNA, 2711 nt
Filed under: Numida meleagris (helmeted guineafowl)
Lineage: Eukaryota; Metazoa; Chordata; Aves; Galliformes; Numididae
Description: lncRNA (ENSNMEG00000022817.1)
Source: RNAcentral
AUGGUGUCAUUCUGUGACCAUCCAGCCAAACUCUCAGUAGGGAUAGAGGGAGCAUCCAAGGUGCUGCCUGUGGUCCAUCUCCCACUACUCCCAUGGGUGCACAACUUGGGAAGGAGAAGGAGAAACUCCCUGCUCCCAUCACUCAGGUGGAGAGGUGACUUUGGACAAUGCUUUGCAACUGUAGUUGAAGGCAAUGAGUACACUAAUGAGGAGAGUCAGAAAAAUUAUUGCUGAAUGGAUAACUGUUAAAAUAUUUCUCAUAAUUCUUUGUGUGUUUUCAUGAAUACUUUUUUUUUCUUCAUUGGCACAUUUUAUUGCUUUUCUGUUUAGAGGUUACCUUAUGGUGGACCUUUAGUAUCCCUUAGGCUUUACAAACAAGACUGUGUAUCAACAGCUUAUGUGAUAUAGUGACACACGUCAGUAAGUAUUCUCUGUUUUAAAUUCAUUGCAGUGAAUGGAUCUCAUAAUGUUAACAAAUCUUUUUACAUAUCAUCCUGAAAUGUCUAUUCGACUUAAAAAGCAUGGUUUAGACACUGAGCAAUGGGUAAUGAGAUCAUAGCCAGCAUUAUAAUUUGAAGAAUUAUAGAGUUUUAAGGGGGAAUGUGUUUUCCUGCUGUCAAUAUAUGUUGUAAAUCCUAAAUCAGACAAUGCUGCAGUGAUAUCAAGGCACAACAAUCUAAAGGUGUGUAGCGGAAAUGCUAAGUCAUGGCCUGAACCAGUGACUGGGCACCUGGUGGGAAGGCAGGGCCUACCCAGGGGAGCUUAGGUGCAUGCAAUGAAUCUGAGUGACUGGAAGGGGUAGAGCCAGGAUCCACCCCUUCACAGACCUCAUUUAAGGGUUGACAGUGGAGGUGAGGGCAUCUUCCCUGCCCACCUGCGGCCUUCUAAAGGUAAGUAGCUCUUUUCCUUCAUUUCUGUGUUCACAGCUGUUGCAUUUGGGCUUGUCCUAAUUUGCUGCAGCUGAAGACUUUGCUACCCUGCUAUUAUUGCUGUACCUUCCAUCACAUUAUAGCAUUACAAGGUGGUAUAAAAAUAUCAAGAGUAGGAAGAGGAUGGGCUAUGAAGUACUUCUUUGCACUUCCCAGGGUUUGCACAUGUGGUCAAGGUAAAUUUCAAACACGCUGCAUUGUAAUUGUUCUAUAUUUAGUUGCACAACUGCUAGAAAAUUCAGUCUUCACUCUGUCAUACAAAUAGAUUGGCUUGUGGAAAUGCUCAUCAUUUUAAUCCCAGCAUGCUAAUGGCCCCUGUGUGAAUAUAGACUUCUCAAUUAAACUAAAGUAAUUUGAGAAAAGGACAAGUCUCCCAGGCUCAAGUAAAGGUUUCAGUAACAACAGCAGAUUCAGCUGUCUAUUCUUGAAGUGUUUUCCACUGGAUGGUGCAUUGCUGGGACUUCUAGUUCUACACAGAUUCUUUGCUUAGAUGCAAUCCAAAAAGUGCAUGUUCUAGUAAGGAACUCAUGAAAUAGUCUGCAACAUGGCUAUGCUCCUGAAAGUGCAUCUGUACAUUCCCUAGAGUUAAAUUUCUGCAGUCCCUUGGAGCCCUGAUGCUUUUUCUGGGAUCUCUUUUGAUGCAGGUCUGUGCCACCUUCUUUCUAAGAGAGCUUCAGAUCUACAGGAUAUUUUAAGGGCUAGGACAAAAUGUGUGUCUCUAGCCAAAGAAUAGGAAUCGUAAAUGGGUGAAAUGACCCCACAUUAAUACAACCCAUGUAGCCUUAUCUAUUUACAGUGUUUUAUAUUUCUAACUACUGGAUAUUUAUAAAAAGUCACCAUCUCUAUUGGCAUUUGACAAAGGACACAGUUAAAUGGACCUGGCAUUUUCUUAUUCAUGUAGUUGAGCUACUUGAAUUAAGGUUCAGGCAUCAUAUGAUACUGCAUGUUUUAUGGAUAAAAAUGAUCUGACUCCUGCAUAGACACCAAGAUCCAGCACUUCUUCCAGAGAUAAUUGCCUUUUUUUUUUUUUUUUUUUUUUUUUUUUUACAAAUACAAAAACAUAUUUUCUAACUCUUCAGUGAUCACCUUAAUUUUAGUGCUUUGUCUCACAUAGGAUUGUGUCUUCUUUACAGGUCUUUACAGAUGUGCUUUCCAGAAUACGUGAGAAUUUUGUAUUAAUCAUGUUUUUCUCUGAAUUGUGCCACAUUAUUUUCUCCCUUUCUUUGGUUUGUUCAAUUUACGCCAUAAAUAUUAUUAACCCACAGAGAUUUGUUUCUACUUUCUUUAGUUAAUUAAAGACACUGUUGGAUUUAUCUUGUGCUACCACCAGGAGGGCACAAGUGAAAUAUUGUCUUACUAGAUGGUUCAUUCAUUAGCAUAAAAUAAUCAGUGCUUUUGAAUACCAGCAUCUCAGUAUAUCAGAUUUGGGUUUUUGUGAUCUCAUCUAGGAAGUAGAAGCAGCAGUAGAAGGAUAAAGAAGAGAGACAGAAUGAGGGGGAAAAAGAAAGGGAGCAUUCAGCAUAGGUGUUCAAAUUAGCAGGUUUCCAUAAGAAAACGCACCGGGCACUUGACAAAAAGGAGAGUGCACAAGUUAAACUUGCCUGGAGGCAUAUCUAACUGGCACCUAGGACAGAACACAGUAGUAAGCUAAAUUAAUUCCCUACUCUGCUACUAACAGAGAUUUAAUAAUUACAAGACCAUUCAUUCUAGCAUAUGAUUUCUCCCCUUGGGGGGGAGGGGGGUGGCUGGAAGAAAUAAACAAACUACCAUAUGCUCCUACCA